Long non-coding RNA from Rattus norvegicus (Norway rat), 1531 nucleotides. RefSeq lists it as uncharacterized. The record is from RefSeq and is a predicted model, not a curated record. Lineage: Eukaryota; Metazoa; Chordata; Mammalia; Rodentia; Muridae.
UCCCCGAACUAGAAAGGACUAAAAAAAAUUUUUUUUCUUUUUGAUCUUUUGAGAAAGGACCUUCAGUACCCCAGACUGGCUUUGAACUCCCUAUGUCACGGAGGGUAUCUUUCCAUCUCCUAUGUGCUGGGAUUACAGGAUAAAAGCUCCACUGGACUCAGGACUUUGUCCUCGUCGCUACUGGAACAUAGUGAGCACAGAGAUGCUGGGAGCUGACCAACAUUCUCUGCUUAAUAAAAGAGGAAGCUGUGGCUCACAACCUGCUGAAACAUAGCAGGGAAAAGGGCGGUGCAAAGAGGGAAGCUAGCCCGCGGGGGCAUCGUGACCCUAGCAUCCUGGAGAUGCCUGGAGGUGUCUCAGAGCUUGGGUGGUCCCAGCCCCACGCGGAAGUCGCGGGGGCGAGGAGUUGAAUGAGCUCUGCUUAGGGCGAAAAGCCAGAGCUGAAGAACCCGAACCCCAGCCGGCAGGACCUCACAAGCUUUCCAGAAAGCCCCAGGCUUUCCCACUUCCUCUCCCAGGAUGCCUCACCGCCAAGCAGGGUGUGAACAAAGACGGCUUCUACCAGAAGCUGGAGCGGCUCACAUUGAAGCUUUUGAACCAUUGUCACGACAUGAUGGGCUUCGCGUUCUUACUUAUUCUGCACUUUUGCUAUGCACGAGUUUUCCUAUUACCCUGAUUCAGUUGCUCUUCCCUCGUUCAGACUGGACUUUUGGGUUUUGUUGGAGGAGAUUGCUUCACAGUGGAAUGACCAAAAGCAGUUUUAGUAUUUCCUUUCCUUUCCUCUUCUUUUCUUUUUAUUUCUUUCUUUUUUUAGUAUUUCCCUUCUUUUGGGCCAGUCUCCUAGGAUUUUUGUUUUGUUUUGUUUCUUUUCUUUUUUUCAGAGCUAGGCAAGCGCUCUACCACUGAGCUAAAUCCCCAACCCCAGGAUUUUUGUUUUUAAUUCAAAAAGAAUAAUAAGACGAAGCUAGGCAGAUACUUAAGUUGGUUAAGUGUCACAAAAGCUUGAGGACCUGAGUUCAAUUCCUGACGCCUAUAAAAAAAAAAAAAAAGGAAAAAACCCAAAAAACAAUAAUCUUCCUGUCAUGCGAACACUGGGGAAACACACAGUGGGUUCAUGGGUCUUGGCUAGUGAGAAUAAUUGAAUUAGUGUGCCACAGAUUCAGUGAGAGCCCCUCUCUCAAAAAAGGUAGAGAUCGAUUUAAGAACAUACUCAAUGUUGACCUUUACACACACAAGUAAAAGCUUCGAUGUGUAUUUUAUUUUGCAAGGUAGUGCAAAUCGUGGCUUAUUUUGCCCCAUAUUCAGAAAUCAAGCCAAACGGCUCCGGUUAAAUUGUGUUCCUUAUGUAGGCCUUCCCUUUUUUCUGUACGAUAUUUGCAAAAACAUGAUUUAUUUCUGGAUUUCCACUCUCUCCACAUAAACAUACCUUUUAACACCAUUUUCUUAUUGUUUUUCUUGUUGUGCAAUGUGUAAUGUGAUAUGCGAAAGAGCUGUGAUUAAAUACUCCCUCAUUAAAAAAAAAAAAAAAAAA